RNAcentral lists this ribosomal RNA (305 nucleotides) under uncultured bacterium. RNAcentral's name for it is "bacterial SSU rRNA". It matches the Rfam family "Bacterial small subunit ribosomal RNA", at positions 333 to 655 of the family's 1533-position model. The record is from RNAcentral.
AUGGUCCUACGGGGGGCAGCAGUGGGGGAUAUUGCACAAUGGGGGGAACCCUGAUGCAGCGACGCCGCGUGGGUGAAGAAGCGCCUCGGCGCGUAAAGCCCUGUCAGCAGGGAAGAAAAUGACGGUACCUGAAGAAGAAGCUCCGGCUAACUACGUGCCAGCAGCCGCGGUAAUACGUGGGGAGCAAGCGUUAUCCGGAUUUAUUGGGUGUAAAGGGUGCGUAGACGGGAAGGCAAGUUAGUUGUGAAAUCCCUCGGCUUAACUGAGGAACUGCAACUAAAACUAUCUUUCUUGAGUGCUGGUGU